This is a non-coding RNA of Peromyscus maniculatus bairdii (prairie deer mouse), 751 nucleotides long. The record is from RefSeq and is a predicted model, not a curated record. Lineage: Eukaryota; Metazoa; Chordata; Mammalia; Rodentia; Cricetidae.
UUUGCAGAAGUUAAGGAUCAUAAACAGGACCAAUCUCCCCAGUGCCUGUCUUCCUCUCCUAUUGUGUGAGAUCUCUGAUUUGAGUGGUCUGCUUGCUGACUACCUUUCUUCUCUCUUCACCUCUCUAGGUGGUGUAUCUGCAUCCACUGUUACAUUCCAGCCAGUUUACCACCCACCUCAUGUCCUUGGUGAUAUAAACAGUGACAUCCACUGUUUUCCAGAGAAAAGGGCUAAAGAAACACUUUUGCCAUAUAGCAUUGAAAAAGUGAGCCAGGAGGUGGAAUGGAAUUGCAACGUGCAAUGGAUACUGGCGAGCUCCACAAACUAGAAGACAGAUGCAGUGAAGAAUGGUUUCCUCUGUGAACACUGUGUCAAAGUUCUCAACAUCAUUUGGUCUAGCUUAUGAGGAUUCAUGGAGAUGAAAGAAAAGAAGGAAGAAAAGAUAGAGGGAGAGAGAAGGGGAGGGGGGAAAGAGAAUAAGGGGAGGAGGAUGAGAAGGAAGAGGAACGAUGAAGGAAAAAGAAGAGGGAGAAAGAAGAGGAGGACAAGAAAACCUUCCCUUUUACUUCACUCAACAGUUCUACCAGGCAUGUGACUACAGGCACUGGAUCUACAUAAUGGGUCUUGAUUAAAGCUUGAGGUGAAGUACCCUUCACAUGUAGCUGCUAUAGCUUUGGAUUCCCCUCUUCAGUCUCAGUUCCUUUUUCAGUUAGAAACUUGAGCAACUCAGAGGCCAUUAAUCAAUUUAGGA